AGCAGUAGGGAUUCUUCGGCAAUGGGCGCAAGCCUGACGGAGCAACGCCGCGUGAGCGAAGAAGGCCUUCGGGUUGUAAAGCUCAGUCAUCCGGGAAGAGAGGCCAGGGGAGGGAAUGCCCCUGGAGAGACGGUACCGGGAGAGGAAGCCCCGGCUAACUACGUGCCAGCAGCCGCGGUAAUACGUAGGGGGCAAGCGUUGUCCGGAAUCACUGGGCGUAAAGGGUGCGUAGGCGGUUUGUUAAGUCUGAAGUGAAAGUCCAUGGCUCAACCAUGGGAAUGCUUUGGAAACUGGCAGACUUGAGUACUGGAGAGGCAAGGGGAAUUCCACGUGUAGCGGUGAAAUGCGUAGAGAUGUGGAGGAAUACCAGUGGCGAAGGCGCCUUGCU
This 388-nucleotide ribosomal RNA is filed under the name uncultured bacterium. Its description in RNAcentral is "bacterial SSU rRNA". It matches the Rfam family "Bacterial small subunit ribosomal RNA", at positions 350 to 730 of the family's 1533-position model. The record is from RNAcentral.